UACGUAGGGUGCGAGCGUUAAUCGGAAUUACUGGGCGUAAAGCGUGCGUAGGCGGCUGUGCAAGACAGAUGUGAAAUCCCCGGGCUUAACCUGGGAACUGCAUUUGUGACUGCAUGGCUAGAGUGUGUCAGAGGGAGGUGGAAUUCCGCGUGUAGCAGUGAAAUGCGUAGAGAUGCGGAGGAACACCGAUGGCGAAGGCAGCCUCCUGGGAUAACACUGACGCUCAGGCACGAAAGCGUGGGGAGCAAACA
Molecule: ribosomal RNA, 251 nt
Filed under: uncultured prokaryote
Description: partial 16S ribosomal RNA
Rfam family: Bacterial small subunit ribosomal RNA
Source: RNAcentral